AAGACAGGUACUAAGACGCUUCC
This 23-nucleotide non-coding RNA is filed under the name Drosophila melanogaster (fruit fly). The record is from RNAcentral. Lineage: Eukaryota; Metazoa; Arthropoda; Insecta; Diptera; Drosophilidae.